This 469-nucleotide long non-coding RNA is filed under the name Monodelphis domestica (gray short-tailed opossum). Its description in RNAcentral is "lncRNA (ENSMODG00000030398.2)". Lineage: Eukaryota; Metazoa; Chordata; Mammalia; Didelphimorphia; Didelphidae. The record is from RNAcentral.
CAUGAAAAUUAUGAUGUCACCAGAAGUAGUACUGUACAUGAGCACCGUCACUGCCACACAGUGCUCCUCUCACUGACCACCAAUGAAAGAGGUGCCCCUUCCAGAAGUGUGGUGGGGGCUGGAUACAUGGCCUCAGGGGGCCACAUGUGGCCCACGGGCUGUAGUUUAGGUACCCCUGCUGUAGAGCAUACUCAUACAUUAGCUGGUUGUGAUCUCUUUACCCUGUGGUGAAGAGGACACUUUGAUUGUUCAUGGAUCUAGGACUGGGUGCAUUCAGAAGAACUCCAUGGAUUAUGUACUCAUACAGUAGGUGUCUUUUAGUUUUAUUGGAGGAAAAGUUUCAAGAGGAGCAAAAAUCUCUCCAUGUAUUUGCUAAUAUGUUUGGAGACAUUAUACAAGAUAAAUAAUUUCUUCACAGAUGGCUUAAUUUCCUCAUUACCCCAUGGGAAGUUUUGAGCUUACAAACAAU